UGUCGUAACAAGGUUUCCGUAGGUGAACCUGCGGAAGGAUCAUUAUGGUUCAUCCAAACCACACGUGAAUUGUCACCUCGUGCGUUUCGUUUCACGACGGAGCGCGCGAACCCUCCCAAUACACCUUAAACCAGAGUAUGAAGCAGUAGGGUAUGAGUCAAUCUUUGACACUGCCUUUAACCGUAACAACUCUCAACAAUGGAUGUCUUGGCUCUCGCAACGAUGAAGAACGCAGCGAAAUGCGAUACGUAGUGUGAUUUGCACUAUCCGUGAACCAUCGAAUCUUUGAACGCAUAUUGCACUCGAGACUUCGGUCAAGAGUAUGCCUGCCUGAGCGUCAGUGUGUUUCCUCACCUCUUACCUCUGUGUGACGAGCGUGGAUAUGGCCGUCCGGCGUCGUUUGAUUUAUCGAAACGAUGCGGGUCGGCUGAAAUACAGUUGCAGUGCGUCAGUCGCACGACCAGCGUGGUAGACCACUCCGGUGGACGAUCGCUCGGUUUGGCUGAUGUGUCUCGCGAGAUCUAGUGGAUUCAUCCGACUAGAAACCUGUGCAUUUGGGCGCCACUGGGUUCAUUUGAACCUGUGGCGAUCCAUCGUAUGCUUUCACCUUUUGACCUCAGUUCAGACAAGGCUACCCGCCGAAUUUAAGCAUAUUACUAAGCGGAGGAAAAGAAAAUAACAAUGAUUCCCCUAGUAACGGCGAGCGAACCGGGAAGAGCCCAACUUGAAAAUCUGGAGGCUUGUCCUUCCGAAUUGUAGUCUAGAGAAGUGCCAUCUGCGGCUGGCUGGUCGAAAGUUCCCUGGAAAGGGACGUCAGAGAGGGUGAGAGCCCCGUCACGAUCGGUUAAGUCGCUCCACGAUGCGCUUUCGAGGAGUCGGGUUGUUUGGGAAUGCAGCCCUAAGCGGGAGGUAAAUUCCUUCUAAGGCUAAAUAUUGGCGAGAGACCGAUAGCGAACAAGUACCGCGAGGGAAAGAUGAAAAGACCUUUGAAAAGAGAGUUAAAAAGUACCUGAAAUUGUUGAGGGGGAAGCGAUUGAAACCAGCGGGUGCUCCUCGGGUAGGGUCAAACCACACGCCGAGGGCUGGUCAACGUGGGUUAGUCGGGCGGGAUAUUACGCUUGAUUGACCGAGGACUCGACGUUGGCGGAAUGGUUUCAAUCGGCCCGUCUAGAAACACGGACCAAGGAGUCUAACAUGUGUGCGAGUCGGUGGGUGACAAACCCACGAGGCGCAAGUAACCUGACUGAGCAAAUUCGACCGACCAUGAUCUUCUGUGAAAGGUUUGAGUGCGAGCAUACAUGCUGGGACCCGAAAGAUGGUGAACUAUGCGUGA
Molecule: ribosomal RNA, 1333 nt
Filed under: Ostreococcus lucimarinus CCE9901
Lineage: Eukaryota; Viridiplantae; Chlorophyta; Mamiellophyceae; Mamiellales; Bathycoccaceae
Description: eukaryotic LSU rRNA
Rfam family: Eukaryotic large subunit ribosomal RNA (bases 612-1333)
Source: RNAcentral